Molecule: ribosomal RNA, 484 nt
Filed under: uncultured bacterium
Lineage: Bacteria
Description: partial 16S ribosomal RNA
Rfam family: Bacterial small subunit ribosomal RNA
Source: RNAcentral
AUUGAACGCUGGCGGCAUGCUUUACACAUGCAAGUCGAACGGCAGCGCGGGCUUCGGCCUGGCCGCGAGUGGCCAACGGGCGAGUAAUUCAUCGGAACGUGCCCAGCCUUGGGGGAUAGCCCGGCUAAAGCCGGAUUAAUACCGCAUACGACCUGAGGGUGAAACCGGGGGACCGAAAGGCCUCGCGCUAUUUGCGCGGCCGAUGUCGGAUUAGCUAGUUGGUUGGGUAAAGGCUUACCAAGGCGACGAUCCGUAGCAGGUCUGAGAGGACGACCAGCCACACUGGGACUGAGACACGGCCCAGACUCCUACGGGAGGCAGCAGUGGGGAAUUUUGGACAAUGGGGGCAACCCUGAUCCAGCCAUGCCGCGUGCGGGAAGAAGGCCUUCGGGUUGUAAACCGCUUUUGUUCGGGAAGAAAUCCUCUGGGCUAAUACCCCGGGGGGAUGACGGUACCGGAAGAAUAAGCACCGGCUAACUACGUG